AGGCGGGAAGGAGUUGAUGUCCAGCUGACAUUGGAGGGAUUGGAUUGGAUUGGGUAGUUCGUGUGAGUUGCUCGCUCUCUCUCUUUUUUUUAAUCGUUUUGUUUUGUCAAUUUGCUUGUAUUUUGCAAAGUGAAUGAUUUGUUCUUUAUCUUUAUUUUUAUCCUUGAAUCUCUUUCUUUCUUUCUUUCUUCUUUCUUUUAUUGUUACUUGAUUUGAUUGCCUCAGUUGGCGAUUUCCGUUGGAGUCAGAUCGAAAGCUGAACAAAAUUAUCGUAUUUUCUCGGCGGAAAUCUACUAUAUCCGAACCAAAACUUUGCCCAGCACUUAUAUAAAGAUGGAUAACUAGUUAGUUAGUCAAACUAAUUAUUCAAAAUCAAAGAAUAUGCCUGAUCAGGCUUAGACCCAAUUAUUUGUCAAUGGAUUGACGAAAGCCCACGAUUAUGUGUGUGAACACUUGGCUGUGCAGAGCGGGUUAAACUUCAAGAACUUGUUGCGGACAAUGUAACGUCAUUUUACUUCUCUCCUUGGAGCGUUUGGCGAUACAAUACACAUUUCAAUAGCGAUUGCAGAAAUUGAGCGUCACUGUAGGCGGAGAAAUGAUAUCAUGUGUAACAUUCCGAGAAGAAAAGAGGGGAAUACAAGUGGGAUGGAUACAUGGUGGGACGCAGACGAGAGCAUAUAUCUCAAGAUUUAUUAAACAUGUCGAUCACAGAAGGAAACAUGAAAAAAAAAAAAAAAAAAAAAAAAACUAAGAGGGAAACAGUGACCAUUGAGUAAAUUCGCUUUUGCGGAUCCCCACAAUAUUUCAAUAUCGUGAAGUCGAAACCCUUCUGCUCGGAGUCAACUUUGACGCAAAACACCGCCUUCAAUCGCAAAAUAGAUAUCACGUCAACUGCUCUGGCGGAUUCUGAGGGGUCACAGCCAUCACAUCUCAUCCACGCUGGAUUUACCCUACCAAGUGAAUUGGCACUAAUUAUUUAUCACUUCUCAUACUUUUCCCAUCGCUUGCCAUCAGCUUCCUCAUUGCUGAUGGCGGAAAAUCUACAUUAAAACAUACCCACAUCGUCAAUUUCAGAGAUCUUCAAGAGAGAAAUAAGAUACUAAAGGUAGUACUAACCAUGUCCAUUUUGUCCAAGAUACCACCCCUGGGUAGUCAAUGAUUGUUUUUGAAUAGGGGACCAUCUCCUUAACCUCGCUCCGAAGGAUUUGCCGCUUAAGAAAAAGAGUAUCUUCAGAGACGGUCAUCACGGAAUUGAACAUCUCCAUGAUCAUGAUAUUGCUCAUACAGGUAGGCUUCAUCUUUCGUAGAGCAGUGAGGGGAAAUUUAUUCGGGGUGGUUAUCCAAGCAGGUUUUAUCGACUCCAAACGUGACCAAGAUGGAAUUAUUACUGAGUG
This 1394-nucleotide small RNA is filed under the name Histoplasma capsulatum G186AR. RNAcentral describes it as "hypothetical RNA". The record is from RNAcentral. Lineage: Eukaryota; Fungi; Ascomycota; Eurotiomycetes; Onygenales; Ajellomycetaceae.